GACGAACGCUGGCGGCGUGCUUAACACAUGCAAGUCGAACGGAAAGGCCCUGCUUUUGUGGGGUGCUCGAGUGGCGAACGGGUGAGUAACACGUGGGUAACCUGCCCUUGACUUUGGGAUAACUUCAGGAAACUGGGGCUAAUACCGGAUAGGAGCUCCUGCUGCAUGGUGGGGGUUGGAAAGUUUCGGCGGUUGGGGAUGGACUCGCGGCUUAUCAGCUUGUUGGUGGGGUAGUGGCUUACCAAGGCUUUGACGGGUAGCCGGCCUGAGAGGGUGACCGGCCACAUUGGGACUGAGAUACGGACCAGAAUCCUACGGGAGGCAGCAGUGGGGAAUAUUGCACAAUGGGCGGAAGCCUGAUGCAGCAACGCCGCGUGCGGGAUGACGGCCUUCGGGUUGUAAACCGCUUUCGCCUGUGACGAAGCGUGAGUGACGGUAAUGGGUAAAGAAGCACCGGCUAACUACGUG
Molecule: ribosomal RNA, 468 nt
Filed under: uncultured bacterium
Lineage: Bacteria
Description: partial 16S ribosomal RNA
Rfam family: Bacterial small subunit ribosomal RNA
Source: RNAcentral